RNAcentral lists this ribosomal RNA (764 nucleotides) under uncultured Paracoccaceae bacterium. Its description in RNAcentral is "bacterial SSU rRNA". It matches the Rfam family "Bacterial small subunit ribosomal RNA", at positions 62 to 876 of the family's 1533-position model. The record is from RNAcentral. Lineage: Bacteria; Pseudomonadati; Pseudomonadota; Alphaproteobacteria; Rhodobacterales; Paracoccaceae.
UCGAGCGCACCUUCGGUGAGCGGCGGACGGGUUAGUAACGCGUGGGAAUAUGCCCAAAGUACGGAAUAGCCUCUGGAAACGGAGAGUAAUACCGUAUGUGCCCUUCGGGGGAAAGAUUUAUCGCCUUUGGAUUAGCCCGCGUUGGAUUAGGUAGUUGGUGGGGUAAUGGCCUACCAAGCCUACGAUCCAUAGCUGGUUUGAGAGGAUGAUCAGCAACACUGGGAACUGAGACACGGCCCAGACUCCUACGGGAGGCAGCAGUAGGGAAUCUUAGACAAUGGGCGAAAGCCUGAUCUAGCCAUGCCGCGUGAGUGAAGAAGGCCCUAGAGUCGUAAAGCUCUUUCGCCAGGGAUGAUAAUGACAGUACCUGGUAAAGAAACCCCGGCUAACUCCGUGCCAGCAGCCGCGGUAAUACGGAGGGGGUUAGCGUUGUUCGGAAUUACUGGGCGUAAAGCGUACGUAGGCGGAUUAGUCAGUCAGAGGUGAAAUCCCAGGGCUCAACCCUGGAACUGCCUUUGAUACUGCUAGUCUUGAGUUCGAGAGAGGUGAGUGGAAUUCCAAGUGUAGAGGUGAAAUUCGUAGAUAUUUGGAGGAACACCAGUGGCGAAGGCGGCUCACUGGCUCGAUACUGACGCUGAGGUACGAAAGUGUGGGGAGCAAACAGGAUUAGAUACCCUGGUAGUCCACACCGUAAACGAUGAAUGCCAGUCGUCGGGUUGCUUAGCGAUUCGGUGACACACUAACGGAUUAAGCAUUCCGCUGGG